RNAcentral lists this ribosomal RNA (1732 nucleotides) under Leclercera spinata. Its description in RNAcentral is "SSU rRNA". It matches the Rfam family "Eukaryotic small subunit ribosomal RNA". The record is from RNAcentral. Lineage: Eukaryota; Metazoa; Arthropoda; Arachnida; Araneae; Ochyroceratidae.
GAUUAAGCCAUGCAUGUCUAAGUACAUGCCGUAUAAAGGCGAAACCGCGAAUGGCUCAUUAAAUCAGCCGUGGUUCAUUGAAACGUACUUUUUUACUUGGAUAACUGUGGUAAUUCUAGAGCUAAUACAUGCAGCAGAGCUCCGACCCGCAAGGGGACGAGCGCUUUUAUUAGACCAAGACCAAUCGGACCUCGGUCCGUGUUCUGUGGCGACUCUGUAUAACUUUUGGCUGAUCGCACGGGCGCGACCCGGCGACGCUUUCUUCAAGUGUCUGCCCUAUCAACUGUCGAUGGUAGGUUAUGCGCCUACCAUGGUCGUAACGGGUAACGGGGAAUCAGGGUUCGAUUCCGGAGAGGGAGCCUGAGAAACGGCUACCACAUCCAAGGAAGGCAGCAGGCGCGCAAAUUACCCAAUCCCGGCUCGGGGAGGUAGUGACGAAAAAUAACGAUACGGGACUCUUUUGAGACCCCGUAAUCGGAAUGAGAACAACCUAAAUCCUUUACCGAGGAACCACCGGAGAGCAAGUCUAGUGCCAGCAGUCGCAGUAAGUCUAGCUCCGGUAGCGUAUAUUAAAGUUGUUGCGGUUAAAAAGCUCGUAGUUGGAUCUGAGUUCCAGACGGACGGUCUGCCUAACGGCGGUCACUGCUCCGCCUGAACAACCAGCCGGUUUCCCUAGAUGAUCUUCGCUGGUUGUCCUGGGUGACCGGCGCGUUUACUUUGAAAAAAUUAGAGUGCUCAAAGCAGGCUGGUAGCCGGAAUAGUGGUGCAUGGAAUAAUGGAAUAGGACCUCGGUUCUAUUUUGUUGGUUUUCGGAACACGAGGUAAUGAUUAAGAGGGACAGACGGGGGCAUUCGUAUUGCGGCGCUAGAGGUGAAAUUCUUGGACCGCCGCAAGACAAACUACUGCGAAAGCAUUUGCCAAGAAUGUUUCCAUUAAUCAAGAACGAAAGUUAGAGGCUCGAAGGCGAUCAGAUACCGCCCUAGUUCUAACCAUAAACGAUGCCAACCAGCGAUCCGCCUGGGUUCCUCAAAUGACUCGGCGGGCAGCUUCCGGGAAACCAAAGUCUUUGGGUUCCGGGGGGAGUAUGGUUGCAAAGCUGAAACUUAAAGAAAUUGACGGAAGCGCACUCCAGAUGUGGAGCCUGCGGCUCAAUUUGACUCAACACGGGGAAAUUCACCUGACCCUGACGCUGGAAGGAUUGACAGAUUGAGAGCUCUUUCUUGAUUCAGCGGGUAGUGGUGCAUGUCCGUUCUUAGUUGGUGGAGUGAUUUGUCUGAUCAAUUUCGAUAACGAACGAGACUCUAGCCUGCUAAAUAGGCGUUUUCCGAUCCACUUUGUCGGACGCUUCUUCUUAGAGGGACGGGCGGUUUCCAGCCGCACGAAACUGAGCAAUAACAGGUCUGUGAUGCCCUUCGACGACCAGGGCCGCACGCGCGCUACAAUGAAAGAAUCAGCGUGUGCUUCCCCUGUCCGGUAGGACUGGGUAAUCCGAUGAAACUCUUUCGUGCUUGGAAUCGAUCUCUGUAACUGCGAUCGUGAACGAGGAAUAUCCAGUAAGCGCGAGUCAUCAGCUCGCGUUGAUUACGUCCCUGCGCUUUGUGCACACCGCCCGUCGCUGUUUUCGAUUGGCCGGUGUAGUGAGAUCUUCGGACCUGCGUUCCGGACGGACUCGUCCGCUUCGGGAUUGCGGGGAAGAUGAUCGAACUUGACCGGCUAGAGAAAGCAAAAGUCG